UGCAGUAAGGAGAAAUAAAGGUUGAGUGAUAUGAUAUGCUAAAACAGAUUAAAUAAAAGGRCUAGGUGUAAUAGGGAAGAAAAAAUAAGAGGGCAUGUGACAAAGGAAAAUGAUAAUACAGAGAAAAAAUAAUUAAUCUGAUGAAGAUAGAUACAAAGGUAGUUCAGUGCUAAAAGAAUAUAAGAAAAGAGUGAAAGGUAGGUUGGACAUUUCCUUCUGGAGACAAAGAGACUUCUGUAAAUAUGGCACAAGAGGAACUGUGAGACAAAUGAAAUGCAUUGAGUUUGUGAGGAAGCAUGAUGGAAAAAAAGAUUAUUUCAAAGCUGGUAUUCAGUGCUCAGAUUCCCCUGUCUACAUCCUACCAUGGUAUUUGCUCUUCUCAUGGCUUCUGCUACAAUCUCGCUCUGCCACCAGGCUUGAUGCACAUUACCCCAAGUAUGAGCCAAGCAAUUGUCUGAAAUCACUGGAAGUUGGUCUGUUGGCUAUUCAAAGUCUGGAGUGAAGAGCUGACUGAGCUUGCAUACGAUUUUUUUAAUGACUUAUGCUUUCUGACUUCAAACCAAUGGGGAUGAGUGCUUUAUGAUUGAGAUGAACUUUGACUAAGUGCAUUCAAAAUCUGCCAUUAUACCCUGACAUAGUCCCAGCUUUUGAACACUUCAAGAUGUUCUAAGCCAAGGGUAGCAACAAGACUAGARGGGGCAGCAGUAUUUCUCCUAUAUUGAGGUCCCUGCGGCCUCUCAAACCUUUUGUAGUCAGCGAUUAUCAGUAGAGGCACUCCAACCACAGCCUUACCUGUAUUUCCCAAAAGUGUUGCCAAGAGUCUCAAAUCAUGACAGUGUUUGUUUGCCAUUCAAAAAUACAAAUUCCCUAAAGGCCAUACCAGCUUUGUGUGUGUCCCUUUUGCUGUUACAAAGGUCUGUUAUGCAUUGAAGAAGUGCAAUAUUAUUGCAAUUCAUCUGUCAGUCAAAGGCAUCAAUUUGAACAUUGUUUCUUCUUCACAAACCAGCUGUUAAGAAAGAAACCUGUCUCUUGUCAUUGAUAAAGAAAUUUUGCUGUAAGAGGAAGAUGGAGAUAUUGGGGAUACCACCAAAUGCAUGUAUAUGUAUCUCUUAACUGAGAAAAAUUGAACAAUUUUUCUUGGAUAUCAGAAGCAAUUCAUUAUCUGGGAAAGGAGGCUACCCAACACUGCUCGUCAUUUCAUGGGAAACUACAUGCAACACUACGGUGCCAACAUCUAAACUGCAUAUUCUGUCUUCCCCCCCCUUAAACUGCACCUAAUCCAAAAGACCAUAUGUGCUUCAGUUUACUAGUGUUCCCCAGGUAUUCUGCUUCUGGGCAUGCCCAGAAACUUCUCAAAUGUAGCCACUCUCCAAGGAAGGCUGAAGGUGGUGAAUCCUCCAAGAUGAGUGAGUUGCCUGUCUGCACUACUGAACAAAGCCUGUGAAGAGGGAUCGAAUUUAAAGAAAUACUGAGGACAGGGAGAUGUUUUAGCUUCUUCUCCC
Molecule: long non-coding RNA, 1502 nt
Filed under: Dromaius novaehollandiae (emu)
Lineage: Eukaryota; Metazoa; Chordata; Aves; Casuariiformes; Dromaiidae
Description: lncRNA (ENSDNVG00000011804.1)
Source: RNAcentral